UUGGACUCUCUGUUCUUCUUGUCUUAUUGCAUUGCAAAAGGAGUGAACUUUAGGUGACUUCUCUCUUUCACUUUUACCUCUUUUCUUUAAACUGUUAUAUGCUUGCUGAAAUCUUAGGUGUCGCUGUGUGUUUUUUUAUUUUUAAUUUUGGGUGUCAUAAUUUGUUUGACUUUUGAAAUUGGGGCUGUUAUAUGAAAUUCAUUGUCAGUUGGUGUUGAUUAGGGUUCUGAGCUUGAUUGUGAAGAAACCAGACCUGUAGAGGCAGUUAUGUGGUAUAUGGAAGUUGAUGAAUACCCAUUUCAGGUUGUACGUAUGCUUGAAGCUGAUGAAUACCAUUUCAUGAGGUCAAGAAUCCCAUAGCUCGCAUUGAACACGAAGCCAGUACCUCCAAAAUUGGUGAAGACCAGCUAUUUUACUUUCAGCAAAGGGGAAUAGAUUAUGAGAAAGCCAUGGCUGCCAUGAUAUCUAGUUUUUGCGUGGCAGUAUUGUAUGAGCUUCCUGAUGAGUUUGGGUCUGAGGUGAAUCAAAUGAUCAACUUGAAGAUUGAAGGAACAGUGGGGUAGAAAAUUGUUCGUUAUAUAUAAGAUGGCUAGAAUAUGCAUAGGUGAUGCGUAGGAUAGCCCAAGGAUUUCCCCUCUAUACAAUCCAAUUUGGUGCAUGAUGUAGAUUAUAACAAUCUCUUUUAUAUAUUGAUCUGUUAAUUUGGUCAUUUUU
Molecule: long non-coding RNA, 714 nt
Organism: Rosa chinensis
Lineage: Eukaryota; Viridiplantae; Streptophyta; Magnoliopsida; Rosales; Rosaceae
Exons: 2
Source: RefSeq, a predicted model, not a curated record